RNAcentral lists this ribosomal RNA (611 nucleotides) under Bradyrhizobium sp. STM 3571. RNAcentral describes it as "partial 16S-23S ribosomal RNA intergenic spacer". The stretch from base 70 to 142 matches the Rfam family "tRNA". The record is from RNAcentral. Lineage: Bacteria; Pseudomonadati; Pseudomonadota; Alphaproteobacteria; Hyphomicrobiales; Nitrobacteraceae.
GUGAGGUCGGAAGUUCAAGUCUUCCCAGGCCCACCACUUUCAUCGAGUGAGCAUUCGUCUUCUGGUUACGGGGCCAUAGCUCAGCUGGGAGAGCGCGUGCUUUGCAAGCAUGAGGUCGUCGGUUCGAUCCCGUCUGGCUCCACCAGAUGGUUUGAUCACCGAGAUCUUGACCGUCGUCCGCGAAACAUCACUUCGCAUCCUGCUAGUCUGGAUAGACAGCAGUUUGCGUGUUUUCUGACAUCGUAAAGAGGAGAUCGAUCCGAGUUGGGUCGUGCAGCAUAUCGUUGCGCGAGCCUUCAUUAUCUCCGGAUCAUUUCGGCGCUCGCUUCCAGCCGUGAGGUUGGAUGCGGGUUGUAAAUGAUCCUUUUAGCGAAGCUUGACCGCCUCGCUAUCGGAACGAUCUUACGAAGCAAGCUGGUCUUUCUAGUCAAUGUCCGGCUGCGGAUAGCGUUCAUCGAGGGCGCGUGCCGCAAGGCAAUUCUGCAGACAACAUUCUGCCGAGUGUGUGGACAUUGAUAAUGAGAGCAAUCAAGUGCCUUAAGGGUGUUCGGUGGAUGCCUUGGCGCUGAGAGGCGAUGAAGGACGUGCUACGCUGCGAUAAGCCGUGGGGA